RNAcentral lists this ribosomal RNA (498 nucleotides) under uncultured bacterium. RNAcentral's name for it is "partial 16S ribosomal RNA". It matches the Rfam family "Bacterial small subunit ribosomal RNA", at positions 28 to 523 of the family's 1533-position model. The record is from RNAcentral.
GAUGAACGCUAGCGGCAGGCCUAAUACAUGCAAGUCGAGGGAGAAUGUUGGAUUCGUCUGACACGAAACCGGCGCACGGGUGCGUAACACGUAUGCAACCUACCUUUAACUGGGGUAUAGCUCAGAGAAAUCUGAAUUAAUCCCCCAUAAGACUACGACAUGGCAUCAUGAUGUAGUUAAAGCUCCGGCGGUUAAGGAUGGGCAUGAGGUACAUUAGCUAGUUGGUGAGGUAAUGGCUAACCAAGGCUACGAUGUAUAGGGGGUCUGAGAGGAUGAUCCCCCACACUGGUACUGAGACACGGACCAGACUCCUACGGGAGGCAGCAGUAGGGAAUAUUGGUCAAUGGACGCAAGUCUGAACCAGCCAUGCCGCGUGAAGGAUGAAGGCCCUAUGGGUCGUAAACUUCUUUUAUUAGGGAAGAAAAAACGGGAUGCGUCCUGUACUGACGGUACUUAAUGAAUAAGGAUCGGCUAACUUCGUGCCAGCCGCCGCGGUAA